AGCGAACGCUGGCGGCAGGCUUAACACAUGCAAGUCGAACGCUCGUAGCAAUACGGGAGUGGCAGACGGGUGAGUAACGCGUGGGAAUAUGCCUUUUGGUUCGGAAUAACUCAGGGAAACUUGAGCUAAUACCGGAUAAGCCCGUGAGGGGAAAGAUUUAUCGCCAAAAGAUUAGCCCGCGUCCGACUAGCUAGUUGGUGAGGUAAUGGCUCACCAAGGCGACGAUCGGUAGCUGGUCUGAGAGGAUGAUCAGCCACAUUGGGACUGAGACACGACCCAAACUCCUACGGGAGGCAGCAGUGGGGAAUAUUGGACAAUGGGCGCAAGCCUGAUCCAGCCAUGCCGCGUGAGUGAUGAAGGCCUUAGGGUUGUAAAGCUCUUUUGUCCGGGAAGAUAAUGACGGUACCGGAAGAAUAAGCCCCGGCUAACUUCGUGCCAGCCGCCGCCGUAA
Molecule: ribosomal RNA, 451 nt
Filed under: uncultured bacterium
Lineage: Bacteria
Description: partial 16S ribosomal RNA
Rfam family: Bacterial small subunit ribosomal RNA
Source: RNAcentral